Nicotiana attenuata is the source of this 104-nucleotide non-coding RNA. Lineage: Eukaryota; Viridiplantae; Streptophyta; Magnoliopsida; Solanales; Solanaceae. The record is from Rfam.
GGGAUAUGAUGAGUGGUCAAUGCUCGCAUUUAAAUAUGCGAGAAGGGCGUCCAGCUCAGCCUGUUACGACAGUUUGGGCGCUCUCAUUUUACUAAUCUGAUCCC